UGGGGAAUAUUGCACAAUGGGCGCAAGCCUGAUGCAGCCAUGCCGCGUGGGUGAAGAAGGCCCUAGGGUUGUAAAUCCCUUUCAGCGGGGAAGAUAAUGACGGUACCCGCAGAAGAAGCCCCGGCUAACUCCGUGCCAGCAGCCGCGGUAAUACGGAGGGGGCUAGCGUUGUUCGGAAUCACUGGGCGUAAAGCGCGCGUAGGCGGAUCGGUUAGUUGGGGGUGAAAUCCCGAGGCUCAACCUCGGAACUGCCCUCAAUACUGUCGAUCUCGAGUCCGGGAGAGGUGAGUGGAAUUCCUAGUGUAGAGGUGAAAUUCGUAGAUAUUAGGAAGAACACCAGUGGCGAAGGCGGCUCACUGGCCCGGUACUGACGCUGAGGUGCGAAAGCGUGGGGAGCAAACAGGAUUAGAUACCCCCGUAGUCC
RNAcentral lists this ribosomal RNA (424 nucleotides) under uncultured prokaryote. Its description in RNAcentral is "bacterial SSU rRNA". It matches the Rfam family "Bacterial small subunit ribosomal RNA", at positions 355 to 796 of the family's 1533-position model. The record is from RNAcentral.